RNAcentral lists this long non-coding RNA (679 nucleotides) under Mus spicilegus (steppe mouse). RNAcentral describes it as "lncRNA (ENSMSIG00000027564.1)". Lineage: Eukaryota; Metazoa; Chordata; Mammalia; Rodentia; Muridae. The record is from RNAcentral.
CUGCCUCUACCCACUCUCCUUCCCCCUCCCUCCUCUUCCUCCUCCUUCUCUUUCUCCUCCUCCUCCCCUUCCUCUUCUUCCUCCCACACCUCCUUCUCCUCCUCUGGCUUGAAAUAUUGGCAAGGACUGUAAUAAUAGCCAAAGAAGUAAGAGUUUAUGUGUUAAUUUGUUCCCAUCUAUCUCUGCUGUCCAUACAGGAGGACUGAGAAGGAAGCUGUUUAGACCAUGCCAUAUUUCUUAGGCCCCAAGAAUCUUACAGAUGGACAGAUCUUCUCUUCAAAUCCUGCCGUCGCAGCCCAGAGAAAGAGACAGCCACUGGAGCAGCACAUCCUGACAUGUGCCAGCAUCCAGGUCCCUAGAAGAUACCCUUAACAAACAAGGCGUUGAAGUUGGUGACUGAAGAUCUCAGCUCAUUUGCCUCUUGAGGAAACAGCUUCCGGAGCAUCCUGCUUAUUAUUUUAGCUCUGAGGAAGAGCAGGAUCCCAGCAGCUUCCUCUUCAUUAGUGAAAGCCUGAUGCCUCCUCCUUCUUAUCGAUCUGCUCACUCGCUCCUUGAGCUUUCUGGAACCCCUUCUCAGAUGAUCUACCAGCAUCCUCUUCCCUACUUUACUACACUACUGUUGUGUGGAGCUAAAUGAUCGAGCACACGGAAUAAAUCUAGCAUUCUUUUCUCUCCUGCA